AAUUGACGGGGGCCCGCACAAGCGGUGGAGCAUGUGGUUUAAUUCGAUGCAACGCGAAGAACCUUACCUGGUCUUGACAUCCACAGAAGUUUCCAGAGAUGGGAAUGUGCCUUCGGGAACUGUGAGACAGGUGCUGCAUGGCUGUCGUCAGCUCGUGUUGUGAAAUGUUGGGUUAAGUCCCGCAACGAGCGCAACCCUUAUCCUUUGUUGCCAGCGGUCCGGCCGGGAACUCAAAGGAGACUGCCAGUGAUAAACUGGAGGAAGGUGGGGAUGACGUCAAGUCAUCAUGGCCCUUACGACCAGGGCUACACACGUGCUACAAUGGCGCAUACAAAGAGAAGCGACCUCGCGAGAGCAAGCGGACCUCAUAAAGUGCGUCGUAGUCCGGAUUGGAGUCUGCAACUCGACUCCAUGAAGUCGGAAUCGCUAUAAUCGUGAAUCAG
This 443-nucleotide ribosomal RNA is filed under the name Shigella flexneri. RNAcentral's name for it is "bacterial SSU rRNA". It matches the Rfam family "Bacterial small subunit ribosomal RNA", at positions 908 to 1352 of the family's 1533-position model. Lineage: Bacteria; Pseudomonadati; Pseudomonadota; Gammaproteobacteria; Enterobacterales; Enterobacteriaceae. The record is from RNAcentral.